CAAGAUAGAGCUUGAUUAGUUAAGCAUCUCACUUACGUUGAGAAGUUCUUUGUGCAAUUCAAUGUAUCUUGA
RNAcentral lists this transfer RNA (72 nucleotides) under Sergia lucens. Its description in RNAcentral is "tRNA-Val". It matches the Rfam family "tRNA". Rfam says of the family: Transfer RNA (tRNA) molecules are approximately 80 nucleotides in length. Their secondary structure includes four short double-helical elements and three loops (D, anti-codon, and T loops). The record is from RNAcentral. Lineage: Eukaryota; Metazoa; Arthropoda; Malacostraca; Decapoda; Sergestidae. RNAcentral also lists the same sequence under 1 other name.